UGGCUGUAUGGCGGAGUGGUCAAACGCGCAAGAUUAGGGUUCUUGUAAACUGUAACUUUUGGAUGUCAUCGGUUCGAUUCCGAUAUACUCAU
This 92-nucleotide transfer RNA is filed under the name Flavobacterium profundi. RNAcentral describes it as "Flavobacterium sp. TP390 tRNA-Pro". It matches the Rfam family "tRNA". From Rfam's summary of the family: Transfer RNA (tRNA) molecules are approximately 80 nucleotides in length. Their secondary structure includes four short double-helical elements and three loops (D, anti-codon, and T loops). Lineage: Bacteria; Pseudomonadati; Bacteroidota; Flavobacteriia; Flavobacteriales; Flavobacteriaceae. The record is from RNAcentral.